GCGGAGGAAAAGAAACUAACUAGGAUUCCCUUAGUAGCGGCGAGCGAACAGGGAAGAGCCCAGCACCGAAUCCCGUGGCCGGUACCGGACACUGGGAAAUGUGGUGUUUAGGAGAAUCCAAUUAUCUCGGGAUUAUGCAGCGCGUCCAAGUCCAUCUUGAAUGGGGCCACUUACCCAUAGAGGGUGCCAGGCCCGUAGUGACCGUCGCUUGUCCCGGGAGGAUUUCUCCUUAGAGUCGGGUUGCUUGAGAGUGCAGCUCUAAGUGGGUGGUAAACUCCAUCUAAGGCUAAAUAUGACCACGAGACCGAUAGCGAACAAGUACCUUGAGGGAAAGUUGAAAAGAACUUUGAAGAGAGAGUUCAAUAGUACGUGAAACCGUUCAGGGGUAAACCUGAGAAACCCGAAAGAUCGAAUGGGGAGAUUCAAUGCUUCUCAAGGCUGGCCUGUUUUUGGUGCGCGAUGGUGCGGGAUUCGUCUCGCGCCACGUCGCCGGGGACUGCGCUCGGUCGCGAAGGCAUGCACUUCUCCCCUAGUAGGACGUCGCGACCCGUUGGGUGUCGGUCUACGGCCCGCUGGGUAGCCUGUCGCGUUCUUCGGAACGAGGCAGACCCGUGGUGUCCCGGCCGACUGCCCGACGGUAAAAAACACGGUACGGGGCCGCUUAAAUGCGUCCUGGCCCUGCGCAAGUCAUGGCGGUGCUUCGGGAUACGGACUCGUCCGUCCCGAACCCGCUUAGCUGCUGGCGCGGGUGUCCUCGGACAGACUCUGUUACCGGUCGGCGACGCUAUUGCUUUGGGUACUUUCAGGACCCGUCUUGAAACACGGACCAAGGAGUCUAGCAUGUGCGCAAGUCAUUGGGACAUACAAAACCUAAAGGCGUAAUGAAAGUAAAGGUUCGCUUAAGUGAACUGAGGGAAGACGGGUCGCGUCUCGAUGCGACCCCGCACUCCCGGGGCGUCUCACUCUCAUUGCGAGAAGAGGCGCACCUAAAGCGUACACGCUGGGACCCGAAAGAUGGUGAACUAUGCCUGGUCAGGUCGAAGUCAGGGGAAACCCUGAUGGAGGACCGUAGCGAUUCUGACGUGCAAAUCGAUCGUCGGAACUGGGUAUAGGGGCGAAAGACUAAUCGAACCAUCUAGUAGCUGGUUCCCUCCGAAGUUUCCCUCAGGAUAGCUGGCUCUUAUGUUUGAAACUUAUACGAGUCUCAUCCGGUAAAGCGAAUGAUUAGAGGCCUUGGGGCCGAAACGACCUCAACCUAUUCUCAAACUUUAAAUGGGUGAGAUCUCUGGCUUGCUUGAACGUGAAGCCAGAGAUUUGGAUCAGAGAGCCAAGUGGGCCACUUUUGGUAAGCAGAACUGGCGCUGUGGGAUGAACCAAACGCCGAGUUAAGGCGCCUAAACGACGCUUAUGGGAUACCAUGAAAGGCGUUGGUUGCUUAAGACAGCAGGUCGGUGGCCAUGGAAGUCGGAAUCCGCUAAGGAGUGUGUAACAACUCACCUGCCGAAGCAACUAGCCCUGAAAAUGGAUGGCGCUGAAGCGUCGUGCCUAUACUCGGCCGCCAGAGGCAAGUGAAGCGUUCAUUCGAUCGCUAUGAGGCCCUGGUGAGUAGGAGGGUCGCGGCGGUGUGCGCAGAAGGGUCUGGGCGUGAGCCUGCCUGGAGCCGCCGUCGGUGCAGAUCUUGGUGGUAGUAGCAAAUACUCCAGCGAGGCCCUGGAGGACUGACGUGGAGAAGGGUUUCGUGUGAACAGCUGUUGCACACGAGUCAGUCGAUCCUAAGCCCUAGGAGAAAUCCGAUGUCGAUGUUGGUGUGUCUUAUAAAUGAAAUACUUUAUUCGUAUUACACCCAUUGGGCGAAAGGGAAUCCGGUUCCUAUUCCGGAACCCGGCAGCGGAACCGUUAACUAGUCGGGCCCUCGCAAGAGAGUUCGUCGGGGUAACCCAAAAGGACCUGGAGACGCCGUCGGGAUAUCCGGGAAGAGUUUUCUUUUCUGCAUAAGCGUUCGAGUUCCCUGGAAUCCUCUAGCAGGGAGAUAGGGUUUGGAACGCGAAGAGCACCGCAGUUGCGGCGGUGUCCGGAUAUUCCCCUCGGACCUUGAAAAUCCAGGAGAGGGCCACGUGGAGGUGUCGCGCCGGUUCGUACCCAUAUCCGCAGCAGGUCUCCAAGGUGAAGAGCCUCUAGUC
Molecule: ribosomal RNA, 2180 nt
Filed under: Caurinus dectes
Lineage: Eukaryota; Metazoa; Arthropoda; Insecta; Mecoptera; Boreidae
Description: eukaryotic LSU rRNA
Rfam family: Eukaryotic large subunit ribosomal RNA
Source: RNAcentral